This 1395-nucleotide ribosomal RNA is filed under the name Triticum aestivum (bread wheat). RNAcentral describes it as "partial small subunit ribosomal RNA". Lineage: Eukaryota; Viridiplantae; Streptophyta; Magnoliopsida; Poales; Poaceae. The record is from RNAcentral.
AUGAUGGGUGGCAGCAAGAGAAAGAGUGCCAUCCCAUCCUGUGGCGAGGCUGGGAAGAUUACGGCAGAGGCGUUCCCAAGCAGCAAGAGGAAGAAGGCCCUUCUACUAUCUCUUUGUGCACGGUUGCUUCCUGAUGACAUGAUGUUGGAGGUGCUACUUCGUCUCCCUGUCAAAUCCGUUCUCCGCUUCCGGGCCGUUUGUCGCUCUUGGGAUGCACUCCUCUCCUCCAAGGAUUUCUGCAGCCUCCACAUGGCGACCUGUAAGGUGCUGCCACCAGCACCAAAGCUACUGGUGGUCUCACCCACAGAAAAAUUGGACUCCGCCACAGUAUGCUCAUACUCACCGUCAGGCCCGAGAGAUGAUUUACUCUUCACCAUUGACUCUGCACGUCCCAACUCUGUGGAAGUACUGACGCCCUCACCAUGCUGUGGCCUCACCCUUCUAUAUGACGCCGCCGCGCUAGCUUACUAUGUUUGCAAUGCAGCCACACGGGCAGUCGCACGUCUGCCACCUUACUGUGAUCGUGCACGUGAUUUUACUGCUGGGUUGGGAUUUGAUGCCCCGACAAGGGAGUACAAGGUAGUGAGGUUGAUCAAUGGGCUUGCCCACGAGGACAUCCUCAGGUGUGAAGUGUACACACCAGGGGCUGAUUGCUGGAGGCCUGCAGCUGGAGGAGUACCCUUCAGGUGGUCCAAGUUUGCACAUUCUGCAGUUGGUCAUGCUAUGAUGAGCAAAAUACAACCUGUGUUUGCCAACGGAUUCCUGCACUGGUUGAUCAGUCCUUCUCUUCUCAUCAGAAGGCCAAGAGCUGCCAUCAUAUUGUUUUCUGUCGCAGAGGAGACCUUCGGAUCCGUCCGUUCACCACCGUUCUGGGGAUCAAGAGAGCACGUACGCCCCUGGUCCCAGUCAGAAGGAGAGCAUCUGGUCGUGAUGGAUGACCAGGUGUGUAUUGUCCGGAACCUUCGCAACGGAACCCCUCAUGGUAGUGCCCUGGAGAUUUGGGGGCUGCUGGAUUACGGCUCUGGUGAUUGGACGCUAAAUCAUCGAAUCGAUUUGUCCGGGCACAUCAGAAGAGAAUUAGGCGAGCCACAGGCUGUGAGAGUUAUUGGUUCUCUUGGCAAUUGCAGGUCGGGGAAGAAGAUUGUCAUUGCUACUAGCAAGCACUGGGUUUAUGAAAAGUUUCAUAAAAAAGUUUACACCUAUGAUCCUAGCUGUCAGGUUCUAGAGGGCAUUCUUUCGGUCACUGAGACACACACCUCUGUUCCAUGCUUCAUCCCUGGUUCAAGAUUCAGUUUAUUUGAAGAGAGCCUUGCUCCAGUGCAUAAAAGGGAUGAAGAGGUUGCCCUGUCAUAUACCCUGGCUAAGGCAACUAAACAAACUACUACUCCAAGCUAA